UUAUACCAAUUCCGCUCGUUCAACAGAAUUGUCAGCUUCAAAAUAGGAAAAAAAGAAAUUUCAAUGGAAAACAAGAAGUCCAGUUCGCCGGCAGGCUUCAUUGAUUCGACUGUAGUUCCAGGGGAUGUGGUGCUUGACCUCUCCUCCAUGACCAACCAGACCAUCAAGAUAGGUGGCGGUCUCCGUCAGGAUUGUGAUGCUAUUUCUGUGAUGAAGGCUGGAACACUUAGAUUCUCAAAACCAAAUAAAUAUUGGGUUGAAAGUUCUCAAAAAAGGUAUGUGCCUUGCGUGGAAGAUACUGUUCUUGGUAUUGUGGUAGACUCUAAAGCAGAUAAUUUUCUGAUUGACAUCAAAGGACCUGCUUUGGCAUUUUUGCCUGUGCUGGCAUUUGAAGGGGGGACCAGGAGGAAUAUACCAAAGUUUGAGGUUGGUACUCUUCUUUAUCUUCGUGUUGUGAAGGCAAACUUUGGCAUGAACCCUGAAUUGUCCUGCACUGAUGUCAGUGGAAAAGCUGCUGAAUUUGGCCCCCUCAAAGAUGGAUACAUGUUUGAAAUUUCAACUGGUUUAUCAAGAAAGCUGUUAAGUUCACCAACAUGUCCGAUUCUUGAGGCUCUUGGCAAGAAACUCUCCUUUGAAAUAGCUAUUGGCUUAAACGGUCGGGUUUGGGUGAAUGCUACCUCUCCAGACAUCAUUGUUAUUGUUGCUAAUGCAAUCAUGAAGUCAGAGUCUCUGAGCACAGCACAACAGAUAAUUAUGGUGGAGCAUUUGCUUAAGAACAUUCAGUGAUGAAGUUGGUUGAGAAGGUUCUAUGGAUAACUUGAGAUCUAUGGUGAAUGCUAUAUGAUUCGAGGGACAUGCAUACUCGUUGAUCGUUGUGCUGUGACGGGCAAAGGAUGAGAAGGUAAAUGUCAUUUGACCUUGUUCAGUAACACAAUCACGAAUGUAAAAGAUUUGAGAUGUUGGCAUUUGGUUUAUUUAGUAUUCUUCUGCUGAGCAUCUCAUUUAGUUGGUGAAUGAUUAAACUUUAGUCGGUAGACAUUAGUUUUGUAAGUUCAGUCUCUGUUCAUUUAUGAAAAUACUCACAAGGGAAGGCUUUGCAAGAUCGAUGGCAUGGGAGGCAGCUGCGGCUUAUUCUUAUUCUCUGGAACCUACGAAUCUAU
This is an RNA transcript of Hibiscus syriacus, 1160 nucleotides long. It is a transcript of the gene named putative exosome complex component rrp40, with no coding region annotated. The transcript has 10 exons. Lineage: Eukaryota; Viridiplantae; Streptophyta; Magnoliopsida; Malvales; Malvaceae. The record is from RefSeq and is a predicted model, not a curated record.